This 367-nucleotide ribosomal RNA is filed under the name uncultured Anaerolineaceae bacterium. RNAcentral's name for it is "bacterial SSU rRNA". It matches the Rfam family "Bacterial small subunit ribosomal RNA", at positions 998 to 1382 of the family's 1533-position model. The record is from RNAcentral. Lineage: Bacteria; Bacillati; Chloroflexota; Anaerolineae; Anaerolineales; Anaerolineaceae.
AACGUGAAAAGGGACCGACCUUCGGGAGCCUAUACAGGUGUUGCAUGGCUGUCGUCAGCUCGUGUCGUGAGAUGUUCGGUUAAGUCCGCUAACGAGCGCAACCCUCGUCGUAUGUUAUAUGUGUCAUACGAGACUGCCGGUAAAAAGCCGGAGGAAGGUGAGGAUGAUGUCAAGUCAGCAUGACCUUUAUAUCCAGGGCUACACACACGCUACAAUGGUCUGUACAAUGGGUAGCCAAGCCGCGAGGCGGAGCCAAUCCUGAAAGCAGGCCUCAGUUCAGAUUGCAGUCUGCAACUCGACUGCAUGAAGCCGGAGUUGCUAGUAACCGCAGGUCAGCAAUACUGCGGUGAAUACGUUCCCGGGUCUU